UCACUGAAUUAGAAAUUCAGGUAGUCCAGUGCCUAAGUGUAGUGAGUUGCUUGCAAGUCACCGUGGCGGUCUCAGAUCGGAGGGACAGUUAUACCCAUAUCCCAUCGGAGCAAAUCUUGACAGCAGAAAUAGCUCCAGAGUCGGUCACGUUCAGUGCAGAUGUACCCUUACAUCUCACCUGUAUACCAUACCAGUGUCUCCACACUCCUUGGUUAAGAAGACAACCAAUCUAUAUGGCACACAAUAACCUAUGCUUGAUAAACGUUGUUGUCCUUGGUAACAACGUAUCAUUUGGUUGCGAAC
RNAcentral lists this long non-coding RNA (303 nucleotides) under Elaeis guineensis (African oil palm). RNAcentral's name for it is "long non-coding RNA (EGUI_LNC053613)". Lineage: Eukaryota; Viridiplantae; Streptophyta; Magnoliopsida; Arecales; Arecaceae. The record is from RNAcentral.